Molecule: ribosomal RNA, 238 nt
Filed under: uncultured bacterium
Lineage: Bacteria
Description: partial 16S ribosomal RNA
Rfam family: Bacterial small subunit ribosomal RNA
Source: RNAcentral
UGGCGGACGGGUGAGUAACGCGUGGGUAACCUGCCUCACACUGGGGGACAACAGUUAGAAAUGACUGCUAAUACCGCAUAAGCGCACAGGACCGCAUGGUCCGGUGUGAAAAACUCCGGUGGUGUGAGAUGGACCCGCGUCUGAUUAGGUAGUUGGUGGGGUAACGGCCUACCAAGCCGACGAUCAGUAGCCGACCUGAGAGGGUGACCGGCCACAUUGGGACUGAGACACGGCCCAG